This 1268-nucleotide long non-coding RNA is filed under the name Homo sapiens (human). RNAcentral's name for it is "HSALNT0323990". The record is from RNAcentral. Lineage: Eukaryota; Metazoa; Chordata; Mammalia; Primates; Hominidae.
CGCUUUGGGAGGCCGAGGCGGGCGGAUCACAAGGUCAGGAGAUCGAGACCAUCCUGGCUAACAUGGUGAAACCCCGUAUCUACUAAAAAUACAAAAAAUUAGCCAGGCGUGGUGGCAGGCGCUUGUAGUCCCAGCUACUCGGGAGGCUGAGGCAGGAGAAUGGCGUGAACCCAGGAGGCAGAGCUUGCAGUGAGCAGACAUCGGGCCACUGCACUCCAGCCUGGGCAACAGAGCAAGACGCUGUCUCAAAAAAAAAAAAAAGUUUAUUUUCUGGAACCUUUCCUUGUGAAUUUAAACACUACCCAGAAGAGGUUUACCUUGAGAGAAAAUCAAAAGACUGAACAAGCAUUAGCUGGGAUUAGGUUUGGGUCUCCUGAGCACCAGAGAAAGGAAUGAAAGAGAAUAAUUGAUGGAACCAAAAAUCUCUCCUUUUCAGUAUUAGUUACUCUAGUAUUUCAAACAAGCUAUUUCUGUGCAGCUAGAAUAUGAUCAAGUCUACAUACAUCUAAAUGAUUCAAACAGUACUUCUAAGUUUAAAAAUAGCAAACUUCAAAAAGUCUAACAGCUAAAGGGACAUUAUGGAGGCCACCUGUUCCCCUCUGUUCCCCCACCCAGUCAUGAGACUCGUCCCCUGCAGAGUGACUUCACCAGGAGAGUGUGGGGCCAAUGGAAAUGUCUUUAGACUGAAGGGAUCUGGCGAAAAUAUUUAAAAAGCGUUUAAACACAAGGAUAUCCAAAAUUAUGAGAUUUUUCUUUUACAAGUUAUUUAUUUAUUUUGAGACAGUGUCUCGCUCUGUUGCCCAGGCUGGAGUGCAGUGGCACAACCUCCACUCACUGCAAGCUCUGCCUCCUGGGUUCAAGCAAUUCUCCUGCCUCAGCCUCCCAAGUAGCUGGAACUACAGGUGCCUGCCACCACGCCCGGCUAAUUUUCUGUAUUUUUAGUAGAGAUGGGGUUUCACCAUGUUAGCCAGGAUGGUCUCGAUCUCCUGACCUUAUGAUCUGCCCGCCUCGGCCUCCCAAAGUGCUGGGAUUACAGGCGUGAGCCACCGCGCCCAGCCAGGGAUCAUUUCUUAAAUCCAUAAAAGGUUUCCCAAAAUAUCACUCAUGGUUCCUAAACUAGAAUAAGCAAAAGCUGUGUUUCAGUGAAGUUAUAAGUAAAACUUUCAUUCAUUCAUUUGUGGAUACACUGUUGUUUGGUGGGUGUGUGUGUGUGUGUGUGUGUGUGUGUGUGUUCUGGCAGUUCUGCCAUUUUAUUUUUCCUAGGAUAC